Molecule: ribosomal RNA, 253 nt
Filed under: uncultured bacterium
Lineage: Bacteria
Description: partial 16S ribosomal RNA
Rfam family: Bacterial small subunit ribosomal RNA
Source: RNAcentral
UACGUAGGGUGCAAGCGUUGUCCGGAAUUAUUGGGCGUAAAGAGCUCGUAGGCGGUUUGUCGCGUCUGCUGUGAAAACCCGAGGCUCAACCUCGGGCCUGCAGUGGGUACGGGCAGACUAGAGUGCGGUAGGGGAGAUUGGAAUUCCUGGUGUAGCGGUGGAAUGCGCAGAUAUCAGGAGGAACACUCGUGGCGAAGGCGGGUCUCUGGGCCGUAACUGACGCUGAGGAGCGAAAGCGUGGGGAGCGAACAGG